GAUCCUGGCUCAGAACGAACGCUGGCGGCAGGCUUAACACAUGCAAGUCGAACGCCCCGCAAGGGGAGUGGCAGACGGGUGAGUAACGCGUGGGAACGUACCUUUCAGUUCGGAAUAACUCAGGGAAACUUGUGCUAAUACCGGAUACGCCCGCAAGGGGAAAGAUUUAUCGCUGAAAGAUCGGCCCGCGUUGGAUUAGCUAGUUGGUGGGGUAAAGGCCUACCAAGGCGACGAUCCAUAGCUGGUCUGAGAGGAUGAUCAGCCACACUGGGACUGAGACACGGCCCAGACUCCUACGGGAGGCAGCAGUGGGGAAUAUUGCACAAUGGACGAAAGUCUGAUGCAGCAACGCCGCGUGGAGGAUGACACAUUUCGGUGCGUAAACUCCUUUUAUAUAGGAAGAUAAUGACGGUACUAUAUGAAUAAGCACCGGCUAACUCCGUG
Molecule: ribosomal RNA, 444 nt
Filed under: uncultured bacterium
Lineage: Bacteria
Description: bacterial SSU rRNA
Rfam family: Bacterial small subunit ribosomal RNA
Source: RNAcentral